UUCUCCCAUGCUUUCCGUUGGUCAACAACCAACCAAAGUGCUCUAUACUUCUUCACUACUCGUACAGGCUUGACGGAGUUAAGUUGUAUUGAGGGAAUCGUUUUGUCUCAAUCAAUCAAGAAUGCCUCAACUGGAUAAAUUCACUUAUUUCACACCAUUCUUCUGGUCAUGCCUUUUCCUCUUUCCUUUCUAACUCAACUGGAUAAAUUCACUAUUUCACACCAUUCUUCUGGUCAUGCCUUUUCCUCUUUGCUUUCUAUAUUCUUAUAUGCAAUGAUGGAGAUGGAGUACUUGGGAUCAGCAGAAUUCUAAAACUACGGAACCAACUGGUUUCACACCGGGAGAACAAGAUCCGGAGCAACGACCCCAACUUUUUGGAAGAUAUCAUAGGAAAAGGUUUUAGCACCGGUGUAUCCUAUAUGUACUCAAGUUUAUUCGAAGUAUCCCAAUGGUGUAACGCCUUUGACUUCUUGGGAAAAAGGAGGAAGAUGACUUUAAUCUCUUGUUUCGGAGAAAUAAGUGGCUCACGAGGAAUGGAAAGAAACAUAUCCUAUUUGAUCUCUAAGUCUGUACAUAGCAAUCCUGGGUGGGUCAUUACUUGUAGGAUUGACAUAAUGCUAAUCCAUGUUCCACACAGCUAAGGAAGUAUCAGUUUUUAAUCUCAUUAUGACUUGGUCGUUCGGAAGAGCAAUUAAUUCGAUCAGAAUAGUGGAAUGGAAAGCAGUAAAAGAAUUAAAUACUCCUUUCUUUUCCAAUAGCACCGCGAAGACAGACGUUCCGAAAGGUUCUCGAGAUUCUCAAUCGCUCUUUUUAGUGGGGAGGAAUAGUGCGGGAAGGGAGCGAGACCAAGCCUAGCCACUAGUAGAGUAAGCCCUUCCCACGUGUCAAGUUGAAUAUGAAUAAAUGAAUGCAGCCUCAACCAGAGAGAUCAACCUACACCUUUGGGUUGAGGCCGCUGGCGGCGCAGAACGAACUAAUCCGCGACCAUCAAGUUUUCCGAAAGCGAACUGAAUGGAAUUGUUACUUUCAAAAAAUCUUGCUUCAAAUCAAAGAAAGAAGGUCUAUUUUCCCACGUAGUUCGUUGGUCAAACCAACGAUUCUCUUCGCAAAGUAAUAGAGAGA
This 1122-nucleotide long non-coding RNA is filed under the name Nicotiana benthamiana. Its description in RNAcentral is "long non-coding RNA (NBEN_LNC012249)". Lineage: Eukaryota; Viridiplantae; Streptophyta; Magnoliopsida; Solanales; Solanaceae. The record is from RNAcentral.